GAAAUGCGAUAAGUAAUGUGAAUUGCAGAAUUCAGUGAAUCAUCGAAUCUUUGAACGCACCUUGCGCUCCUUGGUAUUCCUUGGAGCAUGCCUGUUUGAGUAUCAUGAAAUCUUCAAAGUAAAUCUUUUGUUAACUCAAUUGGUUUCUACUUUGGUAUUGGAGGUCUUUGCAGCUUCACACCUGCUCCUCUUUGUUCAUUAGCUGGAUCUCAGUGUUAUGCUUGGUUCCACUCGGCGUGAUAAGUUAUCUAUCGCUGAGGACACUGUAAAAGGUGGCCAAGGUAAAUGCAGAUGAACCGCUUCUAAUCGUCCAUUGCCUUGGACAAUACUUUUAUGAUCUGAUCUCAAAUCAGGUAGGACUACCCGCUGAACUUAAGC
Molecule: unclassified non-coding RNA, 378 nt
Filed under: plant metagenome
Description: partial contains 5.8S ribosomal RNA, internal transcribed spacer 2, and large subunit ribosomal RNA
Rfam family: 5.8S ribosomal RNA (bases 1-105)
Source: RNAcentral